UGACCUCAAAUCAGGUAGGAUUACCCGCUGAACUUAAGCAUAUCAAUAAGCGGAGGAAAAGAAACUAACAAGGAUUCCCCUAGUAACUGCGAGUGAAGCGGGAAAAGCUCAAAUUUAAAAUCUGGCAGCCUUUGGCUGUCCGAGUUGUAAUCUAGAGAAGUGCUAUCCGCGCUGGACCGUGUACAAGUCUCCUGGAAUGGAGCGUCAUAGAGGGUGAGAAUCCCGUCUUUGACACGGACUGCCAGGGCUUUGUGAUGUGCUCUCGAAGAGUCGAGUUGUUUGGGAAUGCAGCUCAAAAUGGGUGGUAAAUUCCAUCUAAAGCUAAAUAUUGGCGAGAGACCGAUAGCGAACAAGUACCGUGAGGGAAAGAUGAAAAGAACUUUGGAAAGAGAGUUAAACAGUACGUGAAAUUGCUGAAAGGGAAACGCUUGAAGUCAGUCGCGUUGUCCAGGGAUCAACCUUGCUUUUGCUUGGUGCACUUUCUGGUUGACGGGUCAGCAUCAAUUUUGACCAUUGGAAAAAGAUUAGGGGAAUGUGACAUCUUAGGAUGUGUUAUAGCCCUUGGUUGCAUACAAUGGUUGGGAUUGAGGAACUCAGCACKCCGCAAGKYCGGGUUAUUAACC
Molecule: ribosomal RNA, 623 nt
Filed under: Cortinarius acutus
Lineage: Eukaryota; Fungi; Basidiomycota; Agaricomycetes; Agaricales; Cortinariaceae
Description: eukaryotic LSU rRNA
Rfam family: Eukaryotic large subunit ribosomal RNA
Source: RNAcentral